GACGAACGCUGGCGGCGUGCUUAACACAUGCCAGUCGAACGGAAAGGCCCUGCUUUUGUGGGGUGCUCGAGUGGCGAACGGGUGAGUAACACGUGAGUAACCUGCCCUUGACUUUGGGAUAACUUCAGGAAACUGGGGCUAAUAUCGGAUAGGAGCUCCUGCUGCAUGGUGGGGGUUGGAAAGUUUCGGCGGUUGGGGAUGGACUCGCGGCUUAUCAGCUUGUUGGUGGGGUAGUGGCUUACCAAGGCUUUGACGGGUAGCCGGCCUGAGAGGGUGACCGGCCCCAUUGGGACUGGGAAAGGACCCGGACUCAUACGGGAGGCAGGAGUGGGGAAUAUAGCGCAAUGGGCGGAGGCCUGAAGCAGCAACGCCGGGUGCGGGAUGACGGCCUUCGGGUUGUAAACCGCUUUCGCGUGUGACGAAGCGUGAGUGACGGAAAUGGGUAAAGAAGCACCGGCUAACUACGU
Molecule: ribosomal RNA, 467 nt
Filed under: uncultured bacterium
Lineage: Bacteria
Description: partial 16S ribosomal RNA
Rfam family: Bacterial small subunit ribosomal RNA
Source: RNAcentral